UGGGGAAUCUUGGACAAUGGGGGCAACCCUGAUCCAGCCAUGCCGCGUGAGUGAUGAAGGCCUUAGGGUCGUAAAGCUCUUUCGCCUGUGAAGAUAAUGACGGUAGCAGGUAAAGAAACCCCGGCUAACUCCGUGCCAGCAGCCGCGGUAAUACGGAGGGGGUUAGCGUUGUUCGGAAUUACUGGGCGUAAAGCGCACGUAGGCGGACCAGAAAGUUGGGGGUGAAAUCCCGGGGGCUCAACCCCGGAACUGCCUCCAAAACUAUUGGUCUAGAGUUCGAGAGAGGUGAGUGGAAUUCCAAGUGUAGAGGUGAAAUUCGUAGAUAUUUGGAGGAACACCAGUGGCGAAGGCGGCUCACUGGCUCGAUACUGACGCUGAGGUGCGAAAGUGUGGGGAGCAAACAGGAUUAGAUACCCUGGUAGUCCACACCGUAAAACGAUGAAUGCCAGUCGUCGGGUAGCAUGCUAUUCGGUGACACACCUAACGGAUUAAGCAUUCCGCCUGGGGAGUACGGUCGG
Molecule: ribosomal RNA, 518 nt
Filed under: uncultured bacterium
Lineage: Bacteria
Description: bacterial SSU rRNA
Rfam family: Bacterial small subunit ribosomal RNA
Source: RNAcentral